Molecule: ribosomal RNA, 370 nt
Filed under: uncultured Pseudomonas sp.
Lineage: Bacteria; Pseudomonadati; Pseudomonadota; Gammaproteobacteria; Pseudomonadales; Pseudomonadaceae
Description: bacterial SSU rRNA
Rfam family: Bacterial small subunit ribosomal RNA
Source: RNAcentral
GGUGGCCUUCGGGAACGUCUGACACAGGUGCUGCAUGGCUGUCGUCAGCUCGUGUCGUGAGAUGUUGGGUUAAGUCCGUAACGAGCGCAACCCUUGUCCUUAGUUACCAGCACGUUAUGGUGGGCACUCUAAGGAGACUGCCGGUGACAAACCGGAGGAAGGUGGGAUGACGUCAAGUCAUCAUGGCCCUUACGGCCUGGGCUACACACGUGCUACAAUGGUCGGUACAAAGGGUUGCCAAGCCGCGAGGUGGAGCUAAUCCCAUAAAACCGAUCGUAGUCCGGAUCGCAGUCUGCAACUCGACUGCGUGAAGUCGGAAUCGCUAGUAAUCGUGAAUCAGAAUGUCACGGUGAAUACGUUCCCGGGCCUU